This 1359-nucleotide ribosomal RNA is filed under the name metagenome. RNAcentral's name for it is "bacterial SSU rRNA". It matches the Rfam family "Bacterial small subunit ribosomal RNA". The record is from RNAcentral.
UGAAGAAUGAUGACGAGUGGCGGACGGGUGAGUAAUGUGUAGGAACUUACCCCGGAGUGAGGGAUAACUGCCCGAAAGGGUAGCUAAUACCGCAUAGUGUCUAUUGACUAAAGUCGUAAGACGCUCCGGGAGAGGCCUGCAUCUGAUUAGCUAGUUGGCGGGGUAAAUGCCCACCAAGGCGACGAUCAGUAGCUGGUUUGAGAGGAUGACCAGCCACACUGGAACUGAGACACGGUCCAGACUCCUACGGGAGGCAGCAGUUAGGAAUUUUCCACAAUGGGGGCAACCCUGAUGGAGCAACGCCGCGUGCUGGAUGAAGGCCUUAGGGUCGUAAACAGCCUUUAUUAGGGAAGAUUAUGACGGUACCUAGCGAAUAAGGGUCGGCUAACUCCGUGCCAGCAGCCGCGGUCAUACGGAGGACCCAAGCGUUAUUCGGAAUUACUGGGCGUAAAGAGUUGCGUAGGUGGUCUGUUAAGUGUGUAGUUAAAUCUUGUGGCUCAACCAUAAGUCCAUUACGCAAACUGACAGACUUGAGAAUGAGAGAGGUUACUGGAAUUUCUUGUGUAGGAGUGAAAUCCGUAGAUAUAAGAAGGAACACCAAUGGCGUAGGCAGGUAACUGGCUCUUUUCUGACACUAAGGCACGAAAGCGUGGGGAGCAAACGGGAUUAGAUACCCCGGUAGUCCACGCCGUAAACUUUGGACGCUAGCUGUUGGCCGUAUCGACCCGGUCAGUAGCGAAGCUAACGCGUCAAGCGUCCCGCCUGUGAAGUACGGUCGCAAGACUAAAACAUAAAGGAAUUGACGGGGUCCCGCACAAGUAGUGGAGCGUGUUGUUUAAUUCGAUGCUAAGCGAAGAACCUUACCCAGACUUGACAUCCUUGGAAGCACUGCGAAAGCAGAGUGUGUCUUCGGAAACCAAGUGACAGGUGUUGCAUGGCCGUCGUCAGCUCGUGUCGUGAGAUGUUGGGUUAAGUCCCGCAACGAGCGCAACCCUUGUGGCUAGUUGAAUUUUUCUAGCCAAACUGCCUCGGUAACGGGGAGGAAGGAGGGGAUGAUGUCAGGUCAGUAUUACCCUUAUGUCUGGGGCUACAAACACGCUACAAUGGACGGUACAAAGGGCAGCCAACCCGCGAGGGGGAGCAAAUCCCAUCAAAGCCGUUCUCAGUUCGGAUUGCAGGCUGAAACUCGCCUGCAUGAAGCUGGAAUUACUAGUAAACGUAGGUCAGCACACUACGUUGAAUACGUUCCCGGGACUUGUACACACCGCCCGUCAAACCAUGAAAGUCACCAAUACCCGAAGUCUGGCUUUUGCCGGCCUAAGGUAGGGGAGAUGAUUGGGGUUAAGUCGAAACAAGGUA